This is a long non-coding RNA of Dendronephthya gigantea, 725 nucleotides long. RefSeq lists it as uncharacterized. NCBI's taxonomy places the organism in Eukaryota, Metazoa, Cnidaria, Anthozoa, Malacalcyonacea, Nephtheidae. The transcript has 3 exons. The record is from RefSeq and is a predicted model, not a curated record.
AAUUCCUGUCUGGUAAAGGUUUUGAUAUUCGAUACGGUUUAUAUUAAGUGCGCCCAAUAUUUAUAAAAUGAUAUAACUAGCACAAAUCCAAGGUCAUUUCCGCUCUGAUAAAACUUGUGCAUGUCCCGUUUUGUUUAUGUGUGUUCCUUGCUCCUUAAUGAGAAAUUGGUGAGCGGAAAGAAUGAUAAAAUAGUUUAUUCAAUAGUUUGAAAAGGUAAGCAAUAGUACGGUGGCCCACAAGGGUCACGUCUUCUCCGUGUAAAAUUAUGCAUCGAUGUUACGUGAAAACUAAUCUGCUCGGUAGAAAUUUAGCGCUCUUCUCCGUAUAAGUGCAGUCUUAGGAAGCCAUUUUUAGCAUUUUAAGACAGUUUUUGAACAAUUGAAAAAGUCGUUUGGUCAAAAUUGACCAAAAUGGUAAGGGGUGGUUGCAAGGCCAACGCCAUCCAGAAUAUGCAGUCCUAAUCAUUUUGUUCUAUUAUUGCUAGCCAAGGAACUGCCAACGAUGUCAUUUAUUGUUAUCAGUUAACUGGACUUUGUGAGAGUUUUCUUGCAAAAUGUUUGCCAAGGUGGCGAUCGAAGGUGGACAGCAAGAUCGAAGCUCAGCAAGAUUGAAGAUUGUUCGAGGAAGAAGGAGUUCGCCGUUGACUAAAAGGUUUAUCUGAACAGCUAGUUGUCAAGAUGAAUGUGAAGACUCGCCCGGCCAAAUUCAAAAUGGCGAUGCCAAA